CAGCUAGUAGUUUAAUUUAAAAUAUUAGUUUUGGAGACUAAUGAUAGAUAUUAUCUUUAGCUGA
This 64-nucleotide transfer RNA is filed under the name Notonectidae sp. MT-2014. RNAcentral's name for it is "tRNA-Pro". The record is from RNAcentral. Lineage: Eukaryota; Metazoa; Arthropoda; Insecta; Hemiptera; Notonectidae.